GUAGGGUGCGAGCGUUAAUCGGAAUUACUGGGCGUAAAGUGUGCGCAGGUGGCCGCGCAAGUCGAGUGUGAAAUCCCCGGGCUUAACUUGGGAAUUGCGCUCGAAACUACGUGGCUAGAGUGUGGCAGAGGGAGGUGGAAUUCCACGUGUAGCGGUGAAAUGCGUAGAGAUGUGGAGGAACACCAAUGGCGAAGGCAGCCUCCUGGGCCAACACUGACACUCAUGCACGAAAGCGUGGGGAGCAAACAGGAUUAGAUACCCUGGUAGUCCACGCCCUAAACGAUGAUGACUAGUUGUUGGGGGAGUUAAAUCCCUUAGUAACGCAGCUAACGCGCGAAGUCAUCCGCCUGGGGAGUACGGUCGCAAGAUUA
Molecule: ribosomal RNA, 371 nt
Filed under: uncultured bacterium
Lineage: Bacteria
Description: bacterial SSU rRNA
Rfam family: Bacterial small subunit ribosomal RNA
Source: RNAcentral